This 787-nucleotide long non-coding RNA is filed under the name Oryzias sinensis (Chinese medaka). Its description in RNAcentral is "lncRNA (ENSOSIG00000018831.1)". The record is from RNAcentral. Lineage: Eukaryota; Metazoa; Chordata; Actinopteri; Beloniformes; Adrianichthyidae.
AAGUGCCUCAUAAAGUCUAUAAGUUAUAACAAAUUUAUUUAUAGCUAAAUAAAAAUGGCUUUGGUCAUUAAAAAACACAAUCUACAGUCAAUAGGAAUUUUAAAAAGGUUAAAACCAGAAUAAAUAACAAUAAAAAUGUCUUAUUUUGAAAAGUUCUCAAAGGGAAUCCAGCAAUAAGCUACUGUGGGUUUUUGUUUUUUCACUGUUUUCUUUUGUUGAAUAAUUAACUUUUUAACUCUACAUAUAAUUACUUCACAGAAGAAAGUGACUUUUUACUUAAAUCAUGUCUAAAAACCUUAAACAUGAAAUAUGUCAGGUAUCAUUUUAUUUCUUUACAUUCAAACUUUUCUCAAAUAUUAAACGGUUUUGCUCUGAGAUGCUGAAUACGAGAGACUGACGACAGGAACCAACAAGUUGGAGACUUUCUUUCUGAUGUUAAGUGACCUCAACAGCAGAAUCCAGCAGAUCUUUAACGUCAGGAUUUGAUUUUCUUCAUCGGUUUGGUCCCUCGUUCUGCUCCUGGAGGCCAAACGAUUUCCAGAUUUCUCCACGUCUGAUCUGCUUCACUCCCAGCUGAGGCCUUCAGAGACUCUGCCGGCGGGACGCUCGGAUCCCUCGCUGACAGCUUCGUCUGCUGAGGUCGUUCAGGAGGACCGGCCCCAGGGCCCACGGCAGUCCGGCCCCGGGGCCCACGGCGGUCCGGUGGGGAACCACAGCUGUAGGCGUGGCUAUCUGGACUUCAAAGGGAUUGGUCCCGCGUGAGCGGCUGGUCAUGUGAUCGACGCAC